GCCUUGGUGGUGUAGUGAUAACACACGCCCCUGGUAUGGGUGAAACGCGAGAUUAACUCCCGCGUGAGGUC
Molecule: non-coding RNA, 71 nt
Organism: Parelaphostrongylus tenuis
Lineage: Eukaryota; Metazoa; Nematoda; Chromadorea; Rhabditida; Metastrongylidae
Source: the annotation of a GenBank genome assembly